UCUCUCUCUUUCUCUAAAAUCAAUCAAAAGCUUCAUUGUUUCCUCCGAUAAUUUUUUUUCGAUCUGGCUAAAAUUAGAUCGGAAUUGAAUAUAUAUCCACCCGAUUUGUACAAGAAUUGAUUCGAGAUCUGCUGUGAUGUUUAGCUUUUGAAGAUGGGAGAUGAAACAGUUGAAAUUACGCUACAGAGCGCGUUGAACCUCUUAUCUUCUCACUAACCAUAACGAAAUCCAAAACAAGUGCAGAGAAGAUCUUCCAAACGCUAAACAUUUACCAUACCAUCUUACACCUUAAUUCCCAAAAUCGAUCAGAUCUUCAGGUACAAUUCUACGGCUUGUCUUCUUGCUUUGAUUAAAGAAGAGCGAGUGAAGAAGAAGAUAUAUUAAAGCUUG
Non-coding RNA from Camelina sativa (false flax), 390 nucleotides. The record is from RefSeq and is a predicted model, not a curated record. Lineage: Eukaryota; Viridiplantae; Streptophyta; Magnoliopsida; Brassicales; Brassicaceae.